UUCACUCUCUCAUUUGAGUCUUACUAUUAACAAGUAGAAAACUGCAAUCAUGCCACUCUGGAAUCAAGAUUUGCUCUCAAAUGAGUCUUUAAUGACUUCGAAACAAAUUGGAUUCUUCACCAAAAAUAUAACUUUAUGGAUCCAAGUUGCAAUUAAAGCUAACCUUUGCAUUUUGGGAACUGCCCUGGGACCUUUUUUGCUCUACAAAAUCUGGAGAAAGCACAAAAAGAAAGAAGAACUUCGGGAAAAAGUUGGACAACUUCAGGAUGAAAUUGGUAAUUUUUUGACCUGUUUUUGUUUUUUUGUUUUUUGUUUUUGGAGAUGUAUUUCCUAG
This 334-nucleotide long non-coding RNA is filed under the name Sus scrofa (pig). RNAcentral describes it as "lncRNA (ENSSSCG00060005952.1)". The record is from RNAcentral. Lineage: Eukaryota; Metazoa; Chordata; Mammalia; Artiodactyla; Suidae.